CUGGGGGAGGCCUUCUUUCUGACCCCACUUUCCCAACUUCUUUCUGUGUAACUCUCGUGGACUUGACUGAUGGACAAAGCAUCACUACAAGUGAUGAUAUCAUAGGGAGUGAUGGCACUGGGAAGAGAGCCCUCAGAGGCUGGAGACACUGGUCUGUUUCGUAGGUGGGUGGGGUUCCUUCUGCUGGCAGUUUCUUUCCUACAAGUCCAAACAGCUGGGAAGGCAGGGCUGGAUAAGACCUGUGAGGUUCAGGGGGGGUGUCUUAUCUGUUCCUCACACAUGUCUGAUAAACCUCUUACCAGGGCCUGGCCCUGGAGAGCAGGUGUGGAGUAAGCUGGAAGAGGGGAAAAGGCCAGCUGGGGUUGGCUGAGUACCAGGGAAGACAGCUGGGUCAGGAAGUUCUGGCACCACCCAGGAAAGGGAAGUAAGGGUGUCUCUGUAAGGAGAGUGGAUUGGUGGUCAGAAGCCUGCUUCCCAGCAUUGGCGCCCCAGGUCCUUUACUACUGCCUGAGAGACUUGGAGCCCCGUGUCCUCAGGCUUCCUCUGUGCUGGUAGCAGUGACUGAAGCCUGGCAAUGUGUGGGAUUAAAGGAUUUGCUCAGUGGAAGAAUGGGAAAAGGGAGCCUGGUGUAUGGGGAUGGUGCAUGCUCCCUCCCACAUCAGGGAUCUUCUCCCAGAAUUUGCCCUGUGUACCCAGAAACAUACGGGGGCCCUAUCUGGGUUAACCAGAACCACCACCACCCCCAAGCCUCAAUUCACAGCUACAUCUUCCCAGUCUGUACAUAUCCCCAAACUCUAGGAAUCCUAACCUUCCUGGGAUAUUUGCUUCCAACAAAUUCCACAGACACCUUGGAGCCCUGAUGCCCUCUGGUGACAAAAGGCACACAUGGCAGUUAUAGUGACUUCUCGGGUCACACUGGGUCAGACAAUCUACUGUCAUUUGCCAGGUUAUUUCCUGUCUUCCUCACAUCAAAUUUUAUAAGUUUAUAAUGUCAGACAGACUGCCAGAUCCGGACAGUGACCCAAAGUCUCCAAAGAAGAUUACGAGGCACCUCAGUUCCUGCACCUGGACCAGUGAGCGAGAUGCUCAGAUGUGAUACCUGCCGCCUGCCAGAACCUGGCCGAGACUGUGGACAAAGCUGCUGGACACUGGAAAAUUGAUUGCACCCCUUUGCCUAGACAAAACAAGGUCAGUCUUUUCCAUGUCCCUCUUCCACAGAGAGAAAAAAAACUCUCACAGUAUAGGCCUGGCGAAGAUUGCUGGUCUUUGAGACAGCUGCCUCCAACGGUAAUGGAGAAACUUGGGUUUGGCUAACUGUAUAUAGACUGGCUUCUGUCACUUUUCAGUAGAUUCGGAUAAAGUAUACCCUUCUCAGAUCUCUGAAAUAUUACUGGUUGUCAGCUUGACAGCAUCAGUCAGUCAGAUCCACUAUAGACUAGUCAGUAUGUUAGCUGAUAAAAUAGUAACUAUCUACUGUUCAGGCACGAGCUCAAAGUUUUUAAGUUUAUUUUGGUUGUCAUCUAAGUACAAACUUAAAGGGCUUUUCAUCAGGCCAAAGGCACCUCUGUCCAAUCCAUACCUGGCUCUCUAGACAGAAGAAAAAUGUACAUGCUUAUAGCCCAAAUCUGCAGUUUUUGCUAGGACUCAAAGUUAUAAAUAUGUUCCUGCUGUUUAAACAGAUAUCUGCUUUUUCUGCACUGCGGGCUUCAGUAAAUAAGUUUUAACCUCUGUUCCUAGUUUAAACAUGUCUUAAACAGGUUUCUGCUUCUGGCUGACAUCUGAGUAUCAGUUGCUGACUACAGGCUGUUCUAAGUAGACUGCGAGCCCUAGACUUGCUGUGGAUGUGAACCAGUCCAGCUGAUAUGGACACCCCCUAUCUCUGCAACAAUGUCUGCUAACCAGAAGCCCCUGAUGAAUUCCCCAUUGCCUAAAUUCCUUUUUGCUUUUGACUAGCAUUUCAACCUUCUGGGGUCCCUAACUUCGUCCCAAAGUCAGCAGGAAGCAGUUUGGAAAAGAAUUUCGCCGUCCAUUUUCCCUGGUUAAAAUGCUAAGUCAAAAGGAACUCCCUUACAUGGGGAUGACAGUAUCUAUCACUCCCUGAUGGGGAUGCUAGAGAGACAGCAAUUCCAUGAUUGGAAUUUCCAGAAAAGAAAAUGGGGGAAUGAAGGAACCGGCUUCCCUUUUGGCAGCCAUAAUGGUUGAACAUGUGCUUCUAUGACCUUGUCCUAGAAACCAGAAAGUCAGAUGCCUGUCUUGUGACAAGGAACCAAUCAGAAGUUAGCUGGUGGUGCUAUGCUUUAUGGCUCUGGGUGUGCUUUACGGACAAGCGCACAGCAAUGACGUAGAGAGCAUAGCAACCACCCUGGGAGGGCCUAU
This 2376-nucleotide long non-coding RNA is filed under the name Cricetulus griseus (Chinese hamster). RNAcentral's name for it is "lncRNA (ENSCGRG00015036190.1)". Lineage: Eukaryota; Metazoa; Chordata; Mammalia; Rodentia; Cricetidae. The record is from RNAcentral.